RNAcentral lists this ribosomal RNA (362 nucleotides) under Plumithoe quadrimana. RNAcentral describes it as "partial large subunit ribosomal RNA". The record is from RNAcentral. Lineage: Eukaryota; Metazoa; Arthropoda; Malacostraca; Amphipoda; Ampithoidae.
UUGGAUACUGGAAUAAACGAUUUUACAUUUUUGAUUUAUUUUUAACAUAUUUAUAAAAUUUAGAGUUUAGGUAAAAAUACCUAAGUGUAUAAAAAAGACGAUAAGACCCUAAAAGCUUAAUUUAGAAAAAUUAACUUAAAUUUUUAAAAUUUUUUACUGGGGUAGUAAUUUGAUUUAUUUUAAUAAAUAAAACUUUUAGAUUAAUUAUUCUUUUUUAUAAGGAUAAAAAUAAGUUACUUUAGGGAUAACAGCGUAAUAAUAUUGGGAAGAACAUAUUUAUAAUAUUGAUUGCGACCUCGAUGUUGAAUUAACAAAUCUUUUUAAAGCAGUUUUUAUAAAAGAAGGUUUGUUCAACCUUUAAU